Molecule: antisense RNA, 75 nt
Filed under: Micromonospora eburnea
Lineage: Bacteria; Bacillati; Actinomycetota; Actinomycetes; Micromonosporales; Micromonosporaceae
Description: ASpks TB sRNA
Rfam family: ASpks TB sRNA
Source: RNAcentral
UUUGACCGACCCCAGCCACAGCGGGUGGUCCGCCGGUCGGCUCCUGCCAUACGUCGCCAGCAGGGCACGCGCCUC